RNAcentral lists this ribosomal RNA (525 nucleotides) under uncultured bacterium. RNAcentral's name for it is "bacterial SSU rRNA". It matches the Rfam family "Bacterial small subunit ribosomal RNA", at positions 380 to 914 of the family's 1533-position model. The record is from RNAcentral.
AGCCUGACGCAGCAACGCCGCGUGAGGGGAUGAAGUACGUCGAGAUGUAAACCUCUUUCAGCAGGGACGAAGCGAAAGUGACGGUACCUGCAGAAGAAGCGCCGGCUAAACUACGUGCCAGCAGCCGCGGUAAUACGUAGGGCGCAAGCGUUGUCCGGAUUUAUUGGGCGUAAAGGGCUCGUAGGCGGUCUGUCACGUCGGAUGUGAAAACUCAGUGCUUAACACUGGGCCUGCAUUCGAUACGGGCAGACUAGAGUUCGGUAGGGGAGACUGGAACUCCUGGUGUAGCGGUGGAAUGCGCAGAUAUCAGGAAGAACACCGAUGGCGAAGGCAGGUCUCUGGGCCGACACUGACGCUGAGGAGCGAAAAGCGUGGGGAGCAAACAGGAUUAGAUACCCUGGUAGUCCACGCCGUAAACGGUGGGCACUAGGUGUGGGAAACUAUCUACGUUUUCCGCGCCGCAGCUAACGCAUUAAGUGCCCGCCUGGGGAGUACGGCGCAAGGCUAAAACUCAAAGGAAUUGAC